GAUGAACGCUGGCGGCGUGCCUAAUACAUGCAAGUCGAGCGAACGGACGAGAAGCUUGCUUCUCUGAUGUUAGCGGCGGACGGGUGAGUAACACGUGGAUAACCUACCUAUAAGACUGGGAUAACUUCGGGAAACCGGAGCUAAUACCGGAUAAUAUUUUGAACCGCAUGGUUCAAAAGUGAAAGACGGUCUUGCUGUCACUUAUAGAUGGAUCCGCGCUGCAUUAGCUAGUUGGUAAGGUAACGGCUUACCAAGGCAACGAUGCAUAGCCGACCUGAGAGGGUGAUCGGCCACACUGGAACUGAGACGCGGUCCAGGCUCCUACGGGAGGCAGCAGUAGGGAAUCUUCCGCAAUGGGCGAAAGCCUGACGGAGCAACGCCGCGUGAGUGAUGAAGGUCUUCGGAUCGUAAAACUCUGUUAUUAGGGAAGAACAUAUGUGUAAGUAACUGUGCACAUCUUGACGGUACCUAAUCAGAAAGCCACGGCUAACUACGUG
RNAcentral lists this ribosomal RNA (497 nucleotides) under uncultured bacterium. RNAcentral's name for it is "partial 16S ribosomal RNA". It matches the Rfam family "Bacterial small subunit ribosomal RNA", at positions 28 to 507 of the family's 1533-position model. The record is from RNAcentral.